Molecule: non-coding RNA, 1738 nt
Organism: Phasianus colchicus (ring-necked pheasant)
Lineage: Eukaryota; Metazoa; Chordata; Aves; Galliformes; Phasianidae
Source: RefSeq, a predicted model, not a curated record
UGAUGUAGGCUAAAUGCAAGUCACAGCUUGAACCAGUGAUUGAGCACCUGGUGGGAAGGCAGGGCCAAGCCAGGGGAGCUCAGCUGCGUGUAAUGCAAUACACCUGUGUGACUAGAAGGGGGGGAGGGAAGGGCGAGCCAGGAUCCACCCCUUCCCAGACCUCAUUUAUGGGUUGGUGGUGGAGGCAAGGGGAUCAUUGGAGAUUUGUGCUUGCUGGAGGCUGCCUAGGGGUGAAUAAUACGAAAUGCAAAAGGAACAUGAGCUUAUGUUGUGCCUGUGAGCAGCUGAACAGGAAGAAAGAUUUCCAUGAAGUAUAGAAGUACUGGUUUGUUUCCUCUGGUGAAGAUAAAUUGUCAAGUGCUCCCACCUCUUCGAAGAAGGAAAAAAAAUGAAUUAGCAGAUGUCUUUAUGAUGUGGCUUUCUUGGAGAAUGCAAGGAGAAAGGGAGCUGCAUUUCUUCAUUGCUAGCAAGUCUAUCUGAAUUUCAGCCAACUGCUCUUGGAGAAAUACAGGCAAAUCUGCAGCAGACUUGUACAUGCAAGACUAGUCCUGAAUGUCACAGGAGAAAGACCAACAGAAACAGAUCUUCAGUGCUUCUGCUAAAUGUAACUGGAUUUAAAAGGGAUGCUGCCCAGUGGAAAGGACCCCCAUGGGAGAUGAAUACUUACAGACAAAACCAGUCCAAAUGUUUCUGACAGGGCGGCACAAAGGAUUAAAGACAGAAACAGGAAACCUGCACACCUCUGCAUCUGAAAAGAAACCGCACCAGGGUAAGCUUCAAGUCUCUCGCUGCCUGGCUUCUAGCUUGGAUCCGAAUAGCAGGUUUUGCAUGAAGGAUAGUAAUGAAGCUCUCCCCAGUGGCUAGGCAUGCCCUGGCAUUUUAAUUACAGCCUGUGAAGUUUCAGUUGUUCAUCUUAUUUGUGCUUAUAGCCAGUGUAUGUAUGUGCAAAACCAAAUUACAAGGCAAAGAUCCCAAUGUCAUUUCCCAGUGUCAGGGAAUAUACUCUGCCAAGUCAUUUUUUCAAUGUGAGUCCCCUCAACUCUUCUUUCAGUAUGAAAAGCCUAAGAGAUGUUGUACAGAAUGUUAUACUUCCAGCUCCUUUUUCUGAAGCUGCUUAAUAUUCUUUGCAAACUUUUACUGUGUAUGUGCAUGUGUGUGUGUGAAUUUGGAUAUAUAGUAAAGGCUGCUAGCAGGUAACACAAUAUCCUAUCUUCGACUAAUUUAGAAGCAAAUAGCAUUUUUACUUAAAGUAGUAUAAUGUUCAUAUGUCUGGCUAAUGGCAGAAGCUAUGUCUUGUAGCUCUGUUUUCCAACUUCUUUUGUCAGAAGCCAUAGCACUGCGAUUAUCUGAUCAUCACUGAAUUCCAGAUCUAAACCUGCUUGAAUGAAGUUUAUUUUAUACAAUUGUUAAAUGGUAAUGUACAUAAAUGGGAAGCAAGAAAUUUGCUUUGUUGUUUUGUAUCAUUUGUUGAGGAUGUUCUGUCAGCUGUCACAUUAGCCUUUUAAUUCGGAAUAGAUAGAUCUGGAAAACAGCACUGUAUUUUUUUUGUGAAGAGUUGUUUUUCUUUACUUUAUCAAAGAUGUACUUCUGGAUGAAAUUUCUUAGCUUUUUUAUCAUCUCAGAAAUUUUCUUUGAAACUUGAAACAUCUCUGAGACACAGUGUUUUCUUUGUGUUAUUUGAGUAUAAUUACAGAAAUUAUUAAAGCGAAGUCAGAAUUUACAUUCAAGCAGUAUUAUA